UACGGAGGGGGCAAGCGUUAUUCGGAAUCAUUGGGCGUAAAGGGCGCGUAGGCGGCUUGGCAAGUCAAAGGUGAAAUCCCUCGGCCCAACCGAGGAACUGCCUUUGAAACUGUCUGGCUUGAGGCCGGGAGAGGGUAGCGGAAUUCCCAGUGUAGCGGUGAAAUGCGUAGAUACUGGGAGGAACACCGGUGGCGAAGGCGGCUACCUGGACCGGUUCUGACGCUGAUGCGCGAAAGCGUGGGUAGCAAACAGG
This 253-nucleotide ribosomal RNA is filed under the name uncultured bacterium. RNAcentral's name for it is "partial 16S ribosomal RNA". It matches the Rfam family "Bacterial small subunit ribosomal RNA", at positions 524 to 776 of the family's 1533-position model. The record is from RNAcentral.